AGCCAAUCAGGAUGGUUUCAAUCCUGGAGCCAUCUAAGGCUAGUUUUUUCUCGUCAAUGACCAAGAUAGUGGGAACUUUAGGUCCAAGGUCUCGAUCUGUUGAUGUUAUUUCUGGUUGUCUUAAAGCUGGAAUGUCUGUGGCUAGGUUUGAUUUCUCA
Long non-coding RNA from Hibiscus syriacus, 158 nucleotides. RefSeq lists it as uncharacterized. The transcript has 3 exons. The record is from RefSeq and is a predicted model, not a curated record. NCBI's taxonomy places the organism in Eukaryota, Viridiplantae, Streptophyta, Magnoliopsida, Malvales, Malvaceae.